GGCGGCAGGCCUAACACAUGCAAGUCGAGCGCGAAAACACUUCGGUGUGAGUAGAGCGGCGGACGGGUGAGUAAUGCUUGGGAAUCUGCCCAGUAGUGGGGGAUAACGUGUGGAAACGCACGCUAAUACCGCAUACGUCCUACGGGAGAAAGCAGGGGAUCUUCGGACCUUGCGCUAUUGGAUGAGCCCAAGUCAGAUUAGCUAGUUGGUGGGGUAAUGGCCUACCAAGGCGACGAUCUGUAGCUGGUCUGAGAGGAUGAUCAGCCACACUGGGACUGAGACACGGCCCAGACUCCUACGGGAGGCAGCAGUGGGGAAUAUUGGACAAUGGGCGGAAGCCUGAUCCAGCCAUGCCGCGUGUGUGAAGAAGGCUCUAGGGUUGUAAAGCACUUUCAGUAGGGAGGAAAAGCUUAAGGUUAAUAACCUUGAGCCCUGACGUUACCUACAGAAGAAGCACCGGCAAACUCCGUGCCAGCAGCCGCGGUAAUACGGAGGGUGCGAGCGUUAAUCGGAAUUACUGGGCGUAAAGCGCGCGUAGGUGGUUUGAUAAGCUAGCUGUGAAAGCCCCGGGCUCAACCUGGGAACUGCAGUUAGAACUGUCUGACUAGAGUACAGUAGAGGGUGGCGGAAUUUCCUGUGUAGCGGUGAAAUGCGUAGAUAUAGGAAGGAACAUCAGUGGCGAAGGCGGCCACCUGGACUGAUACUGA
This 707-nucleotide ribosomal RNA is filed under the name gamma proteobacterium IMCC14599. Its description in RNAcentral is "bacterial SSU rRNA". It matches the Rfam family "Bacterial small subunit ribosomal RNA", at positions 38 to 743 of the family's 1533-position model. Lineage: Bacteria; Pseudomonadati; Pseudomonadota; Gammaproteobacteria. The record is from RNAcentral.